GGUUAAGCGACUAAGCGUACACGGUGGAUGCCCUGGCAGUCAGAGGCGAUGAAGGACGUGCUAAUCUGCGAAAAGCGCCGGCGAGGUGAUAUGAACCCUUGACCCGGCGAUGUCCGAAUGGGGAAACCCAGUGCAAUCCGUUGCACUAUCGUUAACUGAAUACAUAGGUUAACGAGGCGAACCGGGGGAACUGAAACAUCUAAGUACCCCGAGGAAAAGAAAUCAACCGAGAUUCCCCCAGUAGCGGCGAGCGAACGGGGAGCAGCCCAGAGUCUGAAUCAGCUUGUGUGUUAGUGGAAGCGUCUGGAAAGUCGCACGGUACAGGGUGAAAGUCCCGUACACGAAAAUGCACAGGCUGUGAACUCGAAGAGUAGGGCGGGACACGUGGUAUCCUGUCUGAAUAUGGGGGGACCAUCCUCCAAGGCUAAAUACUCCUGACUGACCGAUAGUGAACCAGUACCGUGAGGGAAAGGCGAAAAGAACCCCGGCGAGGGGAGUGAAAAAGAACCUGAAACCGUGUACGUACAAGCAGUGGGAGCACCUUCGUGGUGUGACUGCGUACCUUUUGUAUAAUGGGUCAGCGACUUAUAUUCUGUAGCAAGGUUAACCGUAUAGGGGAGCCGAAGGGAAACCGAGUCUUAACUGGGCGUUAAGUUGCAGGGUAUAGACCCGAAACCCGGUGAUCUAGCCAUGGGCAGGUUGAAGGUUGGGUAACACUAACUGGAGGACCGAACCGACUAAUGUUGAAAAAUUAGCGGAUGACCUGUGGCUGGGGGUGAAAGGCCAAUCAAACCGGGAGAUAGCUGGUUCUCCCCGAAAGCUAUUUAGGUAGCGCCUCGUGAACUCAUCUUCGGGGGUAGAGCACUGUUUCGGCUAGGGGGCCAUCCCGGCUUACCAACCCGAUGCAAACUACGAAUACCGAAGAAUGUUAUCACGGGAGACACACGGCGGGUGCUAACGUCCGUCGUGAAGAGGGAAACAACCCAGACCGCCAGCUAAGGUCCCAAAGUCAUGGUUAAGUGGGAAACGAUGUGGGAAGGCCCAGACAGCCAGGAUGUUGGCUUAGAAGCAGCCAUCAUUUAAAGAAAGCGUAAUAGCUCACUGGUCGAGUCGGCCUGCGCGGAAGAUGUAACGGGGCUAAACCAUGCACCGAAGCUGCGGCAGCGACACUCUGUGUUGUUGGGUAGGGGAGCGUUCUGUAAGCCGUUGAAGGUGGCCUGUGAGGGUUGCUGGAGGUAUCAGAAGUGCGAAUGCUGACAUAAGUAACGAUAAAGCGGGUGAAAAGCCCGCUCGCCGGAAGACCAAGGGUUCCUGUCCAACGUUAAUCGGGGCAGGGUGAGUCGACCCCUAAGGCGAGGCCGAAAGGCGUAGUCGAUGGGAAACAGGUUAAUAUUCCUGUACUUGGUGUUACUGCGAAGGGGGGACGGAGAAGGCUAUGUUAGCCGGGCGACGGUUGUCCCGGUUUAAGCAUGUAGGCGGAGGUUCCAGGUAAAUCCGGUACCUUUUAACGCUGAGGUGUGAUGACGAGGCACUACGGUGCUGAAGUAACAAAUGCCCUGCUUCCAGGAAAAGCCUCUAAGCAUCAGGUAACACGAAAUCGUACCCCAAACCGACACAGGUGGUCAGGUAGAGAAUACCAAGGCGCUUGAGAGAACUCGGGUGAAGGAACUAGGCAAAAUGGUGCCGUAACUUCGGGAGAAGGCACGCUGAUAUGUAGGUGAAGCCCCUGCGGGUGGAGCUGAAAUCAGUCGAAGAUACCAGCUGGCUGCAACUGUUUAUUAAAAACACAGCACUGUGCAAACACGAAAGUGGACGUAUACGGUGUGACGCCUGCCCGGUGCCGGAAGGUUAAUUGAUGGGGUUAGCGGUAACGCGAAGCUCUUGAUCGAAGCCCCGGUAAACGGCGGCCGUAACUAUAACGGUCCUAAGGUAGCGAAAUUCCUUGUCGGGUAAGUUCCGACCUGCACGAAUGGCGUAAUGAUGGCCAGGCUGUCUCCACCCGAGACUCAGUGAAAUUGAACUCGCUGUGAAGAUGCAGUGUACCCGCGGCAAGACGGAAAGACCCCGUGAACCUUUACUAUAGCUUGACACUGAACACUGGUCCUUGAUGUGUAGGAUAGGUGGGAGGCUUUGAAGCGUGGACGCCAGUCUGCGUGGAGCCG
RNAcentral lists this ribosomal RNA (2162 nucleotides) under Enterobacter cloacae. RNAcentral describes it as "partial 23S ribosomal RNA". It matches the Rfam family "Bacterial large subunit ribosomal RNA", at positions 1 to 2188 of the family's 2925-position model. The record is from RNAcentral. Lineage: Bacteria; Pseudomonadati; Pseudomonadota; Gammaproteobacteria; Enterobacterales; Enterobacteriaceae.